This 443-nucleotide ribosomal RNA is filed under the name uncultured bacterium. Its description in RNAcentral is "partial 16S ribosomal RNA". It matches the Rfam family "Bacterial small subunit ribosomal RNA", at positions 338 to 795 of the family's 1533-position model. The record is from RNAcentral.
CCUACGGGUGGCAGCAGUGGGGAAUAUUGCACAAUGGGGGAAACCCUGAUGCAGCAACGCCGCGUGAAGGAAGACGGUUUUCGUAUUGUAAACUUCUAUCAAUAGGGAAGAAAGACAUGACGGUACCAAAAUAAGAAGCCCCGGCUAACUACGUGCCAGCAGCCGCGGUAAUACGUAGGGGGAAAGCGUUAUACGGAAGUACUGGGUGUAAAGGGAGAGUAGGCGGCAAGGUAAGCGAUAUGGUAAAGCCUUAAGCUUAACUUAAGGAUGGCAUAACGAACUAUGUAGCUAGAGUACAGGAGAGGAAAGCGGAAUUCCUAGUGUAGCGGUGAAAUGCGUAGAUAUUAGGAAGAACACCAGUGGCGAAGGCGGCUUUCUGGACUGAAACUGACGCUGAGGCUCGAAAGCGUGGGUAGCAAACAGGAUUAGAUACCCCUGUAGUC